AACAGAAUGAAUAACUGAUUCUUGGUGUACUACAUCUCCUUAUGCAUUCAUCUGAGUACAGAAUCUGUGUACGUAGUACCAUGAUUACCUAAAAUAUGUGGCAUGCUGCCCUUGGCCUCUGUUUACCUCAGGCUUGAGAGUGGAUUCUGGGUGCUGGGAUGUCAGCCCUGGAAGUUCGUCCAUUCCCAGAGCCAUACCGCCACCCCCCACCCCCCGUGGACCUCCUCUAUGGCAGACAGCACUGGACACGCUGCCUUCUGCCCAGCUGGUGGGCUCAGCGCUCGCUCCAUUGGCAUCUGGUUGGCCUGUGAGACCAGCUGCUGCAGAUCACAUCAGGUGAUGAGACAUCGGGGUACAGAAAGUUGUUUCUCGUCCAACUACCUCUCCCUGCAAGAUUAGCAAUUUCAGCGAAUGAGGAUUGUUAUGGCUGUGUCCAGAUGUCCCCCAGAGCCUCCUGCAGUCAUAGGUGGGGCUCUUUCAGAGGUGGCUGGAUCUAGGGUGUGUGGCACUAAGUUGGUCCACUGAUUAGUUUGGCAGUUCUGGG
This 544-nucleotide long non-coding RNA is filed under the name Heterocephalus glaber (naked mole-rat). RNAcentral's name for it is "lncRNA (ENSHGLG00000039364.1)". Lineage: Eukaryota; Metazoa; Chordata; Mammalia; Rodentia; Bathyergidae. The record is from RNAcentral.